UACGUAGGGUGCAAGCGUUGUCCGGAAUUAUUGGGCGUAAAGAGCUCGUAGGCGGUCUGUCGCGUCGGCUGUGAAAACCCGGAGCUCAACUCCGGGCCUGCAGUCGAUACGGGCAGACUGGAGUUCGGCAGGGGAGACUGGAAUUCCCGGUGUAGUGGUGAAAUGCGUAGAUAUCGGGAGGAACACCGGUGGCGAAGGCGGCUACCUGGACGAGAAACUGACGCUGAGGCGCGAAAGCUAGGGGAGCAAACAGG
This 254-nucleotide ribosomal RNA is filed under the name uncultured bacterium. RNAcentral describes it as "partial 16S ribosomal RNA". It matches the Rfam family "Bacterial small subunit ribosomal RNA", at positions 524 to 776 of the family's 1533-position model. The record is from RNAcentral.